RNAcentral lists this transfer RNA (71 nucleotides) under Methanococcoides vulcani. RNAcentral's name for it is "tRNA_Cys_GCA". It matches the Rfam family "tRNA". From Rfam's summary of the family: Transfer RNA (tRNA) molecules are approximately 80 nucleotides in length. Their secondary structure includes four short double-helical elements and three loops (D, anti-codon, and T loops). Lineage: Archaea; Methanobacteriati; Methanobacteriota; Methanomicrobia; Methanosarcinales; Methanosarcinaceae. RNAcentral also lists the same sequence under 2 other names. The record is from RNAcentral.
GGCUGGAUGGCAGAGUGGUUAUGCGUCCGACUGCAGAUCGGAGUAUGUGAGUUCGAUUCUCACUCCGGCCU